This 346-nucleotide ribosomal RNA is filed under the name uncultured bacterium. Its description in RNAcentral is "bacterial SSU rRNA". It matches the Rfam family "Bacterial small subunit ribosomal RNA", at positions 29 to 403 of the family's 1533-position model. The record is from RNAcentral.
AGCGAACGCUGGCGGCAGGCCUAACACAUGCAAGUCGAACGCACCUUCGGGUGAGUGGCGGACGGGUGAGUAACACGUGGGAACGUACCUUUUGGUUCGGAACAACACAGGGAAACUUGUGCUAAUACCGGAUAAGCCCUUACGGGGAAAGAUUUAUCGCCGAAAGAUCGGCCCGCGUCUGAUUAGCUAGUUGGUGAGGUAAUGGCUCACCAAGGCGACGAUCAGUAGCUGGUCUGAGAGGAUGAUCAGCCACAUUGGGACUGAGACACGGCCCAAACUCCUACGGGAGGCAGCAGUGGGGAAUAUUGGGCAAUGGGCGGCAAGCCUGAUCCAGCCAUGCCGCGUG